GACCAGGCAAAAAGGCAGGAGUGGACGGUUGUGGGUGGGGAGGCAGCAUCUGUGGGGCUCUGACACCAGGCUUCCUGCACCCCUGCCGGGUCGCAGUCUCCCCUCCCCCCUCCGUUUCUGCCUUUUUGUCGCCCCUUUUCCCUGCAAACUUGGGCUGCCAUCUCUAACCGGGAAGGGCUGUGAGGAAUCUCGGGGAAGGCACACAGCUCCAGGGACGGUACUUUCGUUCUCCAGAGACAAGCCUGGGUUCCCCGGGGUGUCCAGACCGCGGCCCGGUGUCCCAUCCAGGUGCGGAUGCCUGGGAUUCCCAGGCCCCAGGGCUGGAGCCCUUUUCUCUCCUGGUUUAUCUUAGCGGCCGGCAAACCAGUAUCUCUGUUCGAAGGAACAUGGUUAAACCUUUUCUUCUAAAAGGAAGAAACCCAAAGAAAAUCCUUCUCUCCGCAAGGAAAGACCGCCAGAGGGCGCGCGCGGCUGCAAAACGGCGUCUGCUGCCCCUAGUAGCUCUUCUGUUCCAGGUUCGCAGGACCUUCUUGUCUGGCCUCCCUUCCGAAGAAAUACUACACAAAACCUGGUGUGUUUAAAGUGCAAGCGCUCGUUCCCGGCUGUCCCGCAGCUGCUGUCCCCAGUCCCCAAACAUGGACCCCGAGCUGCAGGGGUGCAGAGGCAGGGGGGACAGGCUGGGAGCAGCCACCCCGUGCCCUCUUCUGUGGCCGUUGAGAGAGCAGAGCGGCAUCCCGUGGCCUGGAGACACGCCCUCCCGUGUUUGGGGUCAGAACCCCGAGCGAACAUGCAUCAGAUAUUAAGGAAAGAAGGCAAAUGGCAGAGUGAGGAGUACAGUAAAGUAACAUAUGGCGGAUAAGAAACAGCUUAAACCCCCUGUGAACUUGCCCAGGCAUCCAGGGUGGAGCCCAGGAGCUAAGCUUCCACGGCCACGUGGAUUCCACCACCCUCCUCGCCCAAUCUCCGGGGACGCUCCCUGUUGGCUCCGUCUGGCUUCCUCAUCUGUAAACCAGAAAUAAAAUGCC
Molecule: long non-coding RNA, 1025 nt
Organism: Suricata suricatta (meerkat)
Lineage: Eukaryota; Metazoa; Chordata; Mammalia; Carnivora; Herpestidae
Exons: 3
Source: RefSeq, a predicted model, not a curated record